Heterocephalus glaber (naked mole-rat) is the source of this 1672-nucleotide non-coding RNA. The record is from RefSeq and is a predicted model, not a curated record. NCBI's taxonomy places the organism in Eukaryota, Metazoa, Chordata, Mammalia, Rodentia, Bathyergidae.
ACCAAAAAAAAAAAAAAGAAAUAGAAAACCUUGCUACCAUUUGCACUUGUUUUGACCAGUUCUUUGCUCAGGACAGAAAGAACCUAGAAACCACCUCUAGAGGGAGAUUCCAGCAGCCCACAACCCAGUACCAAUAGCAAGAGCCUAUUUCAAAUAAAAGAAAAAAGGGUGGGGAUGUGGUAGAGCAUUUGCUUAGCAUGUACAAGGCCUUGGGUUUGACCCCCAGCACUGCAAAACAAACAAGCAAACACCUCUUUGAGUUCAAUCACCUAGCUUUGUUCUAGGUUGGGUUUACAGAAUGUUUCAAAAUAACCUAGUGUUUUGUUUUGAGACAGGUUCUCACUAUGCAGUGAGACCAUAGGUCUUCACACUGGCCUGGAACUUUGUAGCUCAGGUUGGCCUUAAUCCUGUGGCGAUCCUCCUGCCUUAGCCUCCUGAGUGCUGGGGAUUCAACUCUGGGCACCUCAUGGAUUUUGGGCAAGCAUUCUACUACUAAGCUACACCCCUACCUCCCUGAUAUUUAUUUUGAAAGAGGAAUAGGAUGCCUUUUUUUUUUUUUUCUGUAAUUUGAUUAUGGUUUUUCUUGAAAAAAUCCAAACCAGAGUAAUUAAGCUUCCCAGGGAAAGUUCUGGUUCCUUUCUUUUUGGUACUAUAUGUAGCUUUUCAGGUGACUGGCUGAUAUUCCUUCCAAAUUACCAACUCUGGAAAUUUUUCCUCAUUAUCUCAGCAGAACAGGAAAGAUAGUCGUUCACCAUUGACUUCCAACCGAUGCCUGGUUCUGAGGAUAAAACAUCACUGCAGCUGGGCAUUGCUCAUAGCCAGCUGGCAAAGCAGAGGGUUAGAGCUGAGUACCCAGCUAUAGUUAGAGAUAGAUGUGUACAAACCCUGAUGCUGAAGACGAGUUAGCUGGAGAGAUGGAAGCCUCGUGGGAGGGUACAGUGGGGUGUGCUGAUGAGAAAGCAAAAUGAAGAGCUGCCGGUGAUUUGUGAGUGCAGUGUGGUGGGGUGGAGUACAUUGGACAGGUGGAACCCAAAGGAUUGAGGACAGCCUGGGCUGAGGGAUUAGAGACAUGUGCCUCUGGAAAACUGAGUCACUCAGCAGGAAAGGCUGGAGGAGGGAAAGGGUGGAGGAGAGCUGAAGGUCCAGACAGCCCAGGCCCUCAAAGUGAGGUAAGUCUGUAGAAUCACUAACACCAGGGGAGAGUUAGUGGACUGGAAGCAAUGGAUCCCUGGAAAUCCUGGCAAGCUCAGGUGAAAGGCAUGUGUUACGGUUUAGAUCUAAAAUGUCCCCCUAAAGUCUCAUGUGUGUUUCUAGGUGACUGGAUCAUGGGGGUGCUAUACUCCUUAGUGGAUUCAUCUGUCCACAAGUCCAUAGCUGAAUGUGCUGUUAGGAGGUUGAGCACCUUCUCCUCCACCACGCCCUUUUGCCAUGCUGUUUCUUCCUUGGAGCCAGCCGACCAUGAACUGAAACCAUGAGCCAAAGUAAACAUCUUCUCUUUUAAGUUUGGGUGUCAAGUAUUUUGUCCCAGUGAUGGCAAAGUAAGACCUCAUGUGUGGGAAUGAAACAAGAGAGGAAGGAGGGCUGGGGAUGUAGCUUAGUGGUGCAGCGCUUGCCUGUCAAGUGCGAAGCUCUGAGUUCAAUUCCUAGUACAAAAAAAAAAAAAAAAAAAAAA